UUUUUUUUUUGACAGGCAGAGUGGACAGUGAGAGAGAGAGACAGAGAGAAAGGUCUUCCUUUGCCGUUGGUUCACCCUCCAAUGGCCGCUGCAGCCGGCGCACCGCGCUGAUCCGAUGGCAGGAGCCAGGUGCUUCUCCAGGUCUCCCAUGGGGUGCAGGGCCCAAGGACUUGGGCCAUCCUCCACUGCACUCCCUGGCCACAGCAGAGAGCUGGCCUGGAAGAGGGGCAACUGGGACAGAAUCCGGCGCCCCGACCGGGACUAGAACCUGGUGUGCUGGCACCGCAAGUCGGAGGAUUAGCCUAGUGAGCCGCGGCGCCGGCCAACCCAUGCUAUAUCUUAUAGAAACAUGAAUCUAUUGCCUACUAUGGCCUGGCACAGUGAACUCUAUGAGGUGGAUGCUAUGAGUAUUCUUAUUUUACAGAUGGCACACGCAAAGAACAAAGGCUGUCUGAGAAUAGAAUACAGAUAAGUGAAGGGCCUGAGAUUGAACCCAGAUACUGUCUCUCCAGAGUGAGAUGCUCUCUGUGAGUGUUAAAGCUGCUUCUCUCUUUCAGCUCUCAGAUCAUAAGUGACACAGGGACUGAGUCCUCAGAAUUUUUCUCUUUUGAGAUCAGAAUUGCUUGAUAUGUCAGUGCACACUAUGAAUAAGUCAGUAUAUUUCAGGCAGUGACAAUGCACUGCGAGAUUUUUGUAUGAGACUCCAUCAAUGCUGGCCACAGUGAAGACAAGCUGCAUGGAUAUCUGAAUUAUAGUUCACAGAAAUAAGCUUUGCAGACUUUGAUUUGAUCACAUGCAUCUAAAUUCAUGAGAUAAUGAGCCAUGUCAUGGAUGCUAUCUGGAGGUAUUUGAAGAAUGCACCUGUGAAUUCUUAUCUGGGAGCCUCUCCAGAAGACUGUCAGAGAAAAUUGCAUGCUCUCUUCUUGUUGGCCCAUGUCAAUACAUUCAGAAAUUAAAAGUUGUGAAAGCCUGAUGAUGUAAAUGCCAGUGAACAGUAACAGACAGAGGGUAUUAUCCAAAUGUGCAUAAUUGUUAUGAUAUUUCUGAGAAAUGUAAAAUAAUAGAAUUAAACAAAUUAAGAAUAACACGAGGGUCUUUGAGGGUCUCCUGAUCUUGCUCUGACAAGAUUUUGACCUCUUUUCCGUCAAAGUUCCCUCUCAUUCCCUAGCCAUACUGGCCCCUUACUGUUAUUCUCCUGCCUGGGGCUUUGGUCUCCUUUCCCUCUGCCGCCUGGGAUCCCUGCUUCGGAAGGUCCAAAGAAUUCACUCCCACACUUCUUCCAGGCGCCUGCUCGAUGGCCACAUAAUCAGAACAGCCUUGCCUUACACCUUCAGCUGGACUGUUCCCCAACCCCAAGUCCCUCACUGCACUUUCCUUUUUUUGAGGGUGUCAUAGCCUUAUUAUAUGGCAAGUAUUUGUGCUUAUUUGCUUACUGUUGAUUCCUACUAUUAGAAAUGGAGCUUCAUGAGUAUGGGAAAGUUUUUUGUCCACUGACAUAUCUUCUGCACUAUAGAAGCGCUUUGAGCCCUAAUAAAUAUUUAUUGAAUGAAUGACGCAAUGAUGAAAAGAGAGGAAUUAUAAAUGCAUUUCCUUGCAGACUUGCUGAGCUUGUGUUGAGAAAUGUAAUAGUGACCACUGGGUGGCCACAGCUGCCUUCACCAUCCACAAGGAGUCAUGCUCCCUGCUGCCCACGUUGUGCCUAAGAGUUCUGCACGCUAUCUUUCUUCUGGGUGGAGGGCUACAUGUUGUUUCUCUUGGUUCUAAUUAUCCAAGGGAAUUGAUCCUGUAAAAGACCUCGUCAAAUCCAAUUUUCAGUCUACUUGGGAAUCCAUCCAAAUCUUCUCAUUGAUUUACUGAACAUUUACUGAGCACCUAUUGUGCUUCCAGUGCUGAAGGGACAGAGAUGAAUGCUGUAGCAUCCCUAUUUCCAAGGAACUUGCUCAGGUAAACUGGAGAAGGCAAGUGAAGAGAAAUUCACAAUCCCUGCUGAUUAACACUCUGACCUGGGAACAAGAUGUAGAACAUGCAGGAGGGGCACUGACCUGCCCUGAAGGGCACAGUGUGAAAGAACAGGCUUCCCAAGUGGGACAACAAAACUUGGAGCAAAACGAAGGAUGAACUAGGUGGAGGUGGUGGAAGACUUUCUAGGAGAGGAAGAGCUGAGAGGAGUUGACACAUUUGGAACUAAAGUGGAUCAUUCUGCUUGAAGAAUGAAGUACAAUGUACGAGAAGAGGGAGAUGAAGCUGGAGAAAUAGCACUUAAUGUUGCAAGGAAAAAAUGCCUCCUUGCUGUGUUGGUCAUAUGAGCAGAAGCUACCUGAUAAAUGGUUCUAGUUUGUAAACACGUUCAUGAGAAGGCAGAGUUAGACGGUGAGAGAGAGACAGAGAGCAAGAUCUUCCUUCCGUUGGUUCACCCCCCAAAUGGCCUCUACAGCCGGCAAGCUGCGCUGAUCUGAAGCCAGGAGCCAGGGGCUUCCUCCUGGUCUCUCAUGUGGGUGCAGGGCCCAAGCACUUGGGCCAUCCUCCACUGCCUUUCCAGGCCACAGCAGAGAGCUGGCCUGGAAGAGGAGCAGCCGGGACAGAAUCCCGCGCCCCAACUGGGAUUAGAACCCAGGGUGCCGGCGCCACAGGUGGAGGAUUAGCCAAGUGAGCUGUGGUGCCAGCCUUGACCUUGCUUUUAAAAUCUGCUCUUGACAUGGUCCCAUCUUGCUUCCCUUUAUGUGAGAGUACCGAAAGUACCACUCACAAACGGUAUUGAGUCUAUGUUGCAGUUCUGCAGCAUCAGGAUCAGGAGUAGAACAUCAGUGUAGAAGAGAAUGCUUUAAUAUAUAAAGAAAGAUGUUAGGAAUUAGAUGUGUUAAUAUGUUCAUAAGUGGGAGUAUUGAAGACUUAGUGCCUUCAAGAAGAUACUCAUGUCCCAAUAGGCUGCUUCUAAAGCUUAAACUGGCUUGGAUAGAGCCUUCCCCAGGUUUGUGGGUGGAGGUGGUAUCUGGUACCACUCAGGGGAGAAUCUGAACCAUACAUCUUAUUUAAAAGGAAGAUGAUUUUUCUAAAAUAGAUUUCCUACAUUGGAAAAUGACGUCCAUCAUAUAUGGUAGUUGUUUACUUUUUGCAAACUUGUUUUCUCACCCAGUUUGUUUAUCAAACAAAUGUAUAAACUACUGUUCCCUGCACUCCUAAGUUUUCCUUAUUUUUGUCAUAGGUGCUGUAGCUUGCCUGCUCAGAUAACUUUUUUCUCCUCUGAGAAAAUAACUUUUAACUUUGCAAAAUGAAAGCUACCAUAAAGUGACCUGAAAGUUACUGCUUGUCUAGUGUCUGCUGAUUCCAUAUUUUACUGGGUGAGAGUGCGGAGGAGGCCUUUGGGGCGUUGGCUCUCAGUGCCAUCUGGACUGAAGAUAUACAUUGGAAGUUAACAACACAAAGAGUGUCGCUGAGAUUUUAGAUUUUAGAUCUGGAUGGGAUCACCUAGAGAGAGAGAAUGAUAGAUAAGAGGUAAGGUCUUAAAACUGCACUUCGAUGCUUCAGUGUUUAGAAGUUGGAGGGUCUAAGGAGGGAUAAACAAAGGAAAAUGGGAGGGGUGAGUAUUUGGCACAGAGAGUUAAGUGACCACUUGAGACCCCUGCACCCUAUAUUGAAUUGAAGUACUUGAGACUAGUCCUCACUGUGCUCUCCAUCCCAGCCUCCUACUGAUGCACACCCUGGGAGGCAGCAGGUGAUGGCUCAAGGCCUUGAGUUCCUGCCACCUCCAUGGGAGAUCCAGAUUGAGUUCACUUGACUUUAGUUUGACUUUAGUUUGGCCCAGCACCAGCUGUUGCAGGUAUUUGGGAAUGGGCUGGUGGAUGAGAGAUUCAUAUUCUCUCUCUCUCUCUGCCUUUCAAAUACAUUAAAUAAAUGUUAAAGAUUUAAAAAGGAAAUUGUUGGAGCUGGCGCUGUGGUGAGGAGGUUAAAGCCCUGGCCUGAAGCGCUGGCAUCCCACAUGGGCGCCACUUCUAGUCCUGGCUGCUCCUCUUCCAAUCCAGCUCUCUUCUAUGGCAUGGGAAAGCAGUAGAAGAUGGCCCAAGUGCUUGGGCCCCUGCACCCACUGGGAGUCCUAGAGGAAGCUCCCAGCUCCUGGCUUUAGAUCUGCACAGCUCCGGCCAUUGUGGCCGUCUGGGAAAUGAACCAGCGGAAGGAAGACCUCUCUCUGUCUCUACCUCUCGCUGUAACUCUGUCAUUCAAAUAAAUAAAAUAAAUCUUUAAAAAAAGGAAAUUGUCUACAAUAAGUUUGUUGGUGGCUGUUUUGAAUGAUUGUAGAGACAACAGCAUGAUUGAAGUGAUUGAAGGGAAAUAUGGGAGAGGAAAUGAAGACCAUAAUAAAGACUAUUUCUUUUUUAGGGUUUUGCUAUAAAGAGCAACACAGAAAUAUGGAGGUAGCUAGAGUGAGAUGUAGGUCAGUAAGAUUUUUUUUGUUCCUUUUCUGUUUUUGUUUCUGAUUUCAUGAUGGGGGAUGCUCUGUCAUGUCAUUUAAUUGAAGGAAAAGUCCAGUGGAGAGUGGCAGCAGGUAGAGAUUUAUAAUUGUGUUUUUGGCUUUGGCUAAAGUAUUCCUGCCGAAUGUCCAUAAAACAGAUGUAUUUUGGCAUUAGGGCGCCUCCUGGCCCACGGGUGGGUGGGAGUUCCCUUUACACUUUGUAACAAAGUCAGCACCAUGACAGAGGCUCACACAUCACCCCAUUUACAAAGCUAAUAAAGAGGGCAGUCAGAGGCCUGUGUGCUCACAAGGUAGGCUGGUGUGAUCAGAGAAGGAGAUUUAUGACUCUAAGUGAGCCACAGUAUUAAAAGGUCACAAAUAACAUUUCCCAUCCUAAGACCCUCUACUCUGAGAGAAUUCAUUUGACAUAAUUGUGAGCCGUUGUAGUAACCUGUGGUUAGUAACCCCUGCCAGACUGGCAAGGGCAUGACAAUGCCCCUUGCUGUGGUGAUGUCUAAGGCUUCCUCCUAGCAGUGUCCUCUGCUUCAGUGGCUGCGGAAUAGAUUCUCAACAAAACUGAGAAAUUAUUUUCCCACCUGCUUGAGAAAUCAAACUGUGCUCCCUUCUACACUGGGUGUGGUGUGACUGUCAAAUCGCUGCUUAGGAAAUUUGGCCAUCUUUGACUUACUGCCUCUGAAUGUCUUCAUUGCUUCAGAGAGCAUGCCCAUUCACCUGGGUGUCUCUUGAUUAAAGGUAUUUGCAAUCUGUUUUCAAUAGAGGCUAAACUGAGGUUUACUUUUGCCCAAUCUAUAGUAGAAAACAUUUUUUUAAAUGGACAUGUAUGCGUGUGAGUGGGUGUUGAAAGUGUGUUUGGGGGCCAGAGCUGUGGCGCAGUGGGUCAACGCCCUAGCCUGAAGUACCAGCGUCCUAUAUGGGCACCAGUUCGGGUCCCAGCUGCUCCACUUCUGAUCCAUCUCUCUGCUAUGGCCUGGGAUAGCAGUAGAAGAUGGCCCAAGUGCUUGGGCCCCUGCACCCACAUGAUAGACCCAGAGGAGGCUCCUGGCUCCUGGCUUCAGAUCAGCACAGCUCUAGCUGUUGCAGCCAACUGGGGAAUGAACCAUCAGAUGGAAGACCUCUCUCUCUCUCUGCCUCUUCUCUCUCUGUGUAACUCUGACUUUCAAAUAAAUAAAUAAAUCUUAAAAAAAAGAAAGAAAGUGUGUUUGUUCACCGAUAGAAACUUUUCAGGCACCUGUUUUUCUAGAAAGAGCCAUCCUAUUGUUACAGAGGUUGACACAGUCUCUCCUGGGCAACAUUCUGGUGGUUAAGUGAUUCCUAUGCACUUAAGUAAAUUAAAACAAAACAAGACAAACAAAAACAAAACUACUCUCACACCAUCGAUUCACUUGUACACUGAAUAUAACGUUCUGGUAAAAAAGGCUAUGAAAAUGGUUUCAAUCAAGGGUCAGUGGAAACUAACAGAACUCAGCCACUCUAGGCGGCCAGCUGUGGAGAUAGUAUGCUUUUUUGUUGUCUUGAUUUGUCAAAACUGAAAAAAUAAAAUAAAAUUCACUCUCUUAUCUACAGAAUUAAAUAACAGAGGACUAUUUUCAUUAUCAAUUAGGAAGCACUGAGAUGCAAAGCAUAAUCAGGAAGAUAUUCGGGGAGCUAGAAAUCUCCAUCAAGUGGGCUUUUGCAGCAUUCAGGCUAAUCCCAGUGUUUUGCUUUGAUUACUUUGGGUACCAUUUAGUCCACUUACUGUAUCAUCUUGUAAUUGCCCUGCACAGUUUUUCAUCACAAAAGUAGUUACGUUCUCUCGUUGUUUGACACGAAGUGUAAAGCAAAAGUAUUUAAAACGUCAGGCUACUUUGGUAUGUUAUACCACAAAGGAGGGAGCAGAUGUUUUUAAAUAAACAUCAGCCUUGGUUGUGCGUUGCUGAGACACUGAGAGAGCCUUUUUCAGAAGCAGGGGCAGCUCAUGAAUUUAGAGGAGGCUUAAAUACUGUACUUUCACAUAAAACCAUAAAAAGUUGGCAGAAGUAUCAGGGGCCAAUGAAUGGGCAUAGAGUUGAGCAUGUUAUAACUCAGAUUACCAAUAAAAAUGUCAGCCUCAAAUCUGAAGUGAAUAGUUUUGUAAUUCUGAACUGAAAGCAUUUUUUAAUUGCUUUCAAAUGGAAAAACUUCAUAUAAUUUAAUAAAAUUUAUCUACUUUAUUAUCAAGAAGGCUAUUAUUGCAGCAAAGGGAAAUGGAGGAUUUAAAUGUCAUUCCCAGCAUCUAAUUUCCCAGCUCUUUUAUUGGGAUGUUAUUAAAACAAGACCAAAUGGACUUUGCUACAUCCAUAAAAGCUAGUCAAGCAGCAAGAGUUCAUCUGGGCACCGUGGAAUCGUGAAAUGAGGCCUGGAGCUGCAGCCUGGCUGGUGCAGGGCGUGACUUGCCCUGGAAGCAGGUGUGAUGUAUCAGGAGCAGUGUUUUGGCAUUCUAGGGUUUGUGGAGUCUAAAGAGCAGCUGGUUCAGGGAGAAGCAUGCCAGGGACAAUCGCUAUCUUUGUACCCAAGGGAUCUAUUUGGUUCUUUAAUGUAUGUUGUGAAUCAAGUAAAUGCUUUGAAACAAAUGAUGGUGAGGCUGGGCUGGGUUCUGGACAGAGCUGGUAGGAGUGGUCUUUUGUCUGCUAGAAAACAGUGCCACUAACAGCUUACUAAGUGAGUAUCUGGGUCUGGAAUGCUUUUUAUUAACCAUCGGGAUAAAUUCUAGGGCUGACUGGAGGAUAGAACAGCUUGUGGACAUUGGAUCUAUUUAAAAUAAAAUCCUUACAAUAGAGAGUAGGUGAUAUCCUGGUAUCUGGCUGUAAGGAGGAGCUGUCAUUAGUAGGAAAGCAUAGGAAGGGAGAUAAACAUUUUAUGAGUACUAUUAAAGUGCAAGGUAACUGUAGUGGCAGUUACAGCAAUAACCUUUUCUAAGAACUUAGCAUUCACCAGCCAUAGUGCUAAAUAGUAUGCAUAUUUUUCCAUUCACAAUAAUAUUCUGAAGGUAUUAUUUUAAUUUUAACAAAUGAUUCUAAAACCCAAGUUUUCCCCUGCACUGUUUCUUGUUCUGCUCUGCCUUGCAGCAUAUCAUUGAUACUAUGGAGCAUACGGUGUCAGCUUAGUUUCCUGGGAAAGAAAUAUCACUGCUCGAUUUCAAACACCACGAAUGUAUUACAAGUGUAGGAUGCUUUUCUGGGUGGCCUUGGACUGAUCUAGUUCUCCCCCCCAUUUCUUACUUGUAGUUCUCAAGAAUAUUUAUAAAAUGUGUUGGGAAUGCAACACGCUGAGAUAAGGGAGAGCUGACCAGAACAGCCUGGGCUCUGUCCUACUCUCUUGCUCCUGACACUGGAAUAGGAUGUCUAUCAAUGCUCUGCACCAGAGAGACAUAUGAUUCCAGUAUGUAUAACCUGAGACAGGCUACAUUUCCAGGUCCUUCAUGGGAAGUUUAAACUCUGUCCACUUAAGGCAGCUUCCUUAGCUUUGGAGGACCUUACAGUGCUUUGAAUGGAUCCUAGAUAUUUGUUGUCCCUUCAUGCCUGUCUGUAAAUAAACAACUUCAUCUAUCCAACUUGUUGCAUGCCAAUAUUCUUUCUAACUGGACCAGAGCAAGUUAUUAAGCAGUGUGAAGUAAAACUGUUUCAUAAUAACCUUUAUUAAACAAAGCCUAUGAUUCUGUAUGUAAAUUGUAAUGAGAACUACUACAACAUGAAUGAUCAGAUCAAUGAGCAAGUAAAACUAUUUAAUGCUUAGUUAUGCUAUGAUCAGUCUAUGUUCAGCGCUCUGAACUCAAAUCUUUGGUCAGGAGAAGACUGUAAGAAAGGACCUACCAAAGGAUCACAAAGUGUGUGUGUGUGUGAGAGAGAGAGAGUAUUUGUGUGAGAGAGAAUCAAUAUGCACAUAUGCACAUGUUUCUCUAGAUUUUAUCCCCAGGAAUGUAAUAGUUGGCUCAAAAGGCAUGCCUUUUGUUUGUGUAUGAAUUUAAUAGCAAUUUUAAAGCUAAUUAAAAGAAAAUCUACAAUCGCAACACCUAUAAGUAAUCCUGAUGUAUUUCUGGGCUAGCCCAUCUUUGUCCAUAUUCUGACACUAUUUUAUAAUGUUACCAUCAUUAUUGAGAAUUUUAAAAAAAUGGGUGACAGCAGUAAUAGUGAUAUAUGGAGACAGAUAUCAAAUCCUAGUUCUGUCAUUUAUAAUCUUGAAAAUAAUUACUGAAAUAUUUUCCACUUCAGAUUAGCCUUACGUACGUGAGGAUGAUGCUAGUGUCUGUUCAUGAGGUUGCUGAGAUUUAAUGAGAUGAAAUAUAUUAAGCACUUGGCUUAGCAAGAAGAACAGGGAAUGUAUUCAAGAAAGACGGGUUUUAUUAUUGUGUGGUUUUCAUACUUCACAUGUCAUUUUUAAAUGUGCCUUUGACCAUUCAAAAACUAUGAUUUGAAGGGAAAAUGAAUAGUAAUCGUACUGAAGUAUUAGUGCAUUUUCUGUUGCUGUAAUUAAAUGCCUGGGGUUAGAUCCUUUAUAAAGAAAAGAGGUUUAUUUUGCUCAACGUUCUGGAGAUUCAAGAGCAUGGUACCAGCUUCUGGUCAGCCCUUGUGAGGGUCUUCUGGCUACAUUACAACAUGGUAGAUGACAUCAUGAUGGGACCAUAUGCGAAAGGGAGAGACCACAUGGUGAAAUAGCCAGCGGUAUGCAGGGACCAGGCUUCUUCUUUUUAUAACACCCUGCUCUCAGGGAACUAUGUGGGAUGCUGAGAAAACUACAUUAUCCCCUCUUGAGGGCAGAGACAACAUGCUCUGAUUACCUCCAGUAGGUCCCAGGCUUAAAGAUUUCACUACCUUUCUUAUUUAUUUAUUUAUUUAUUUAUUUUGACAGGCAGAGUUAGACAGUGAGAGAGAGAGACAGAGUGAAAGGUCUUCCUUCCGUUGGUUCACUCCCCAAAUGGCUGCUACGGACGGAGCCGUGCUGAUCCGAAGCCAGGUGCUUCCUCCUGAUCUCCCAGGAUCUCCCAUGUGGGUGCAGUGCCCAAGCACUUGGGCCAUCCUCCCCUGCACUCCUGGGCCACAGCAGAGAGCUGGACUGGAAGAGGGGCAACCGGGACAGAAUCCGGCGCCCCAACCGGGACUAGAACCUGGGGUGCCGGCGCCACAGGCAGAGGAUUAGCCUAGUGAGCCGUGGCGCCAGCCUGAGAUUUCAGUACCUUUUAACAUCUCCCCACUGAAGAAUGCAGUUUCAGAAUGUGGAUCUUUUGGGGACAACCCAUAUUAACUGUAGGGAGGUCGCAUGAUGUUAAUUUGGGGACAACUUGAGGACUACAACCAGGUUUAGUCUCUUCCAUGCCAGAAUUUUAAGUUAGACAGUCUAGAAUAAACAACUGCCUCAUCCAGGUCACUAAGGUAUAAAUGAACUGUACAGAUAAAGUCUGUUUAUUUAAUUUAUUUGGAAGGUAGCGUUACAGAGAGAAAGGAGGAGAGAGAGACAGAAAGAGAGAGAUAGAGAGAUUUCCAUCCACUGGUUCACAACUCAAAUGGUUACAAUAGCCAGGGCUAUGCCAGGAUGAGGCCAGAAGCCCAGAGCUUCUUCCAGGUCUGCCACAUGGGCGCAGGCACCAACCACUUAGGACAUCUUCUGCUGCUUUCUCAGGCACAUUAGCCUGAACCUGGAUUGGAAGUGGAGUGGCCAGGUCUCAAACUGGAACUCAUGUAAUAUGCUGGUGUUAUAGCCAACAGCUAAACCUGCUACAGCUUAAUGUUUGCCCCUCCUUUAAAGUUUCAGUAUAAAAGUCUAAUCCAAAUGCUGAAGUCAGGUUUUUUUCUUAUUUUGAAUCUUGGCUCCAGUCACUUAAUUGCACUGUGACAUUUGGGUGGGAUGCCUAAUAUAUGUGGAUUUCAGUGCCCUGAUAUAUUAUAUAUUAAUUACAUAUUAAUAUAUAUGAUAGUAUAUAUAUUAUCAAGUGUUAAAUAUAGCAUUGUCUGAAAAUUAAAUGAGAAAUUAUAAAAUGCGAGUGUUGAAAAUGAUGUGGAGAAAUUGAAACCCUUAUAUAAUGCCUAUGUGUAUAUAAAAUGGUGCAGCCAUUUGGAAAAAAAAGUUUGGUAGUUCCUUUAAAUGUUAAACAUAGAGUUUCCAUAUCACUCUGCAAUCAUACUCCUAGGAAUAUAUCGAGAGUAUUCAAAAUACUUGUCCACACAAAAACUUGUACAUCAAAGUUCAUAGCAGAAUUAUUCACAAUAGCCAAAAGGUGGAAGAAAUGCAGCUGUCCAUCAAGACGUGAAUGCAUAAAUAAAAUAUAGUAUAUCAACCUAAUGAAAUAGAACCAAGCCACAGACAUAAGAAAUGAAGGACAAAUGUAUACCAGAACAUUGGUGAAACAAAAAUAUUGUGCUAGUGAAGAAAGUCAGACACAAAAGAUCACAUAUUUGAUGAAUUCUUUUACACAGAAUGUCCAAACUAGACACAUUGAUAGCAUCAUAAGGGAAUUGGUAGUUACCAGGGACCAGUGGGAGAGAUAAAUGUGGAGUUACUGCUAAUGAGUCUGAAGUUUCUAUUUUUUUCCCCAAAGAAACCUUUUAUUUAAUGAGUACAAAUUUUGUAAGUACAAUUUAAGGAAUAUAGUGAUUCUUCUCACCCUAACCACCCUCCUACCCCCACUCCCAUCCCACCUUCUCCUCCCUCUCCCAUUCCCAGUUCCAUUCUCCAUUAAGAAAAAAAAAAGACUUUUCCUUGAUAGUCAAGACAGGGGCUUGGUUGCUUCUCAAAGUGUCAAUUUCACUACUACAGAUUUCCUUUCAGGUGCUCUAUUAGUUAUCACAGAUCAGGGAGAACAUAUGGUAUUUGUCCCUUUGGGACUGGCUUAUUUCAUUAAGUACGAUAUUUUCUGGAUUAACCCAUUUUGUUGCAAAUGACCAGAUUUCAUUUUUUAUCUCUGUGUAGUAUUCCAUAGAGUAAAUAUCCCAUAAUUUAUUUAUCCAUUCAUCAGUUGAUGGGCAUUUAGGAUGAUUCCAUGUCUUAGCUAUUGUAAAUUGAGAUGCAAUGAGCAUGGGGGUGCAGAUAACUCUUUUAUUUGCUGAUUUCAUUUCCCUUGGGUAAAUUACCAGAAGUGGGAUGGCUGAGUCAUAUGGUAGGUUGAUAUUCAGAUUUCUGAGAUAUCUCCACACUGACUUCCAUAGUGGUUUUACCAGUUCCCAUUUCCACCAACAGUGGAUUAGGGUAUCUUACCCACAUCCUUGCCAGCAUUUGCUGUUUGUUGAUUUCUGUACGAAAGCCAUUCUAACUGGGGUGAGGUGCUGAGGUUUCUAUUUGGAGUGAUGAUCAAGUUCUGGGUUUAGAUUGUGAAGGUGAUUGUACAACAUUGUGAAUAUACUGAAAGAACUGGAUUAUAUACUAUGAAGGGUAGAUUGAUGUCACGUCAAUUAUAUGUCAAUAAGUAGAAGUUAAAGAUUAAAUAAGACUAAAAUAUGUGAAACAGUACAGUUUCUGUCAUCCCGUAAGUGGCAUGUUCUCCUAUAAGCUUUAUUAUUAGAAUUACUUUUUUUUUUAACACUUAGCAUCCUCCAUUGGAAAGUUUCUGAUGUGUGCUUUGUUUUUAGAAUUAUACCAAGAUUCUUUUGUUAUUCCUGUUUAGUCUAAAAUAGUCUUUUCAUAAUCCUAUUGAAUGUGAAUUUCACACAUCUGAUUAAUGAAAUUUGGAACAGUAUUUAUCCAGGAGAUACAAAGUAACUAGCAUGAUUACUUUUUUUAUUGAUUUUUAAAAAUUUAUUUGAGAGAGUGUGUGUGUAAGAGAGAGAGAGCACCCAUCUCCUAAUUUACUCCCCAAAUGCCAGCAAUGACCAGAGUCAAUGUGGUUCUGGGCCAAGUUGGGAGCUAAGAAUUCAAUUCAGGUCUCCCACAGGGUAUUAAGAAUCCACUUACUUGCACCAUUACUGGUGCCAGGAUCUUCAUUUUAGCAGUAAACUGGAAUCAGAGGUCAGGCAUGGGAAUUGAACCAAGGUACUACAGUGCGGGGUGACAGGUGCUUUAACAGGCAUCUUAACUGCUAGGCUAAAUGCCUUUUAUUUAUUUAUUUAUUUAUUUACUUAAGGAAAACUUGUAAACUAUUUAUUGAAUAGAUGUGAUUUUGUGUUCAUUUUGAAAUCAUCUUCCAAGGUAUAGCAGAGAGAUGUGCUAACAAAAAGAAAAAAUUUUGAUGAUCUCAAAAGUCUUUCAUGUAAUCUCAAUAAUUUUAACAUAAGAAAAAAUGUAAACAUUGCUUUAAAAUAAGGGCUAAAAAUUACAUUCUUAUUUUCAGUGCAGAAGUAUAGUAAUCCAAUAGUUGUGUAAAAACAGUUUAAAACAUUCAGAAAACUUCAGCAGCUUUCCAGCCUGAAGGUAGUUGACCUGGACAUAUUAAACAUGGGUGAUUUUUAUUUUUGAGUGAACCAAUAGAUAGAAGACCUCUCUUUCUCUCCCUGUCUCUCCCUCUCUCUCAUUCUGCUUUUCAAAUAAAUAAAGAAUAAAUACUUUUAAAAAGGAUCCUAAAAUUUUUCAGCCGUUUAAAUAAAAAAUAAAAAGCUCAUAUUAUAAAUAAAAUUACUCAGUUGAUCUUUCUAGAUCCUUAUGUAGUCUAUCCAAUUCACCCUUUAAUAUUUCCUUCCUAUUAAUUCAUUUAAUCUUUCCUCUCUCACCAAGUUAGGUACUAAUGACAUUUCAACACAGACAUAUUAAUCCUCAAAGAUGGCAAGAGAUUAUAACACAAAUAGCAACAAUAAAGCAAACCUGAAAGUAAUAAGCUGUCAGUGACAUGAAGUAUUUUCUCAAGACAAAAACAUGUGAGAAGAGAGAUAUUGUUCAUGAAAUGAUUCCAGGAUUGUAGGCUGAAAAGAUGGCGGACCCACCUGACAAGGUAGAAUGCUUCCCUCUUUGCUAAAAAUGGCCUACCCAAAACCCUGACCUUUGAACUGUGUCACUCUGUUCUGAGCACCCUCCAGGGUCAGGCAUGUGUUUCUUGCUGCAUGCUUUGCCUGAGAAAAUGAAAAAUGAAGGCAGAGGCCAUUGCAAACCUGGCUAAAAGAUCCAGGGAAAAAUACAUUUUAGAAUUAGAGACUUCAGAAGUAUUAAUAUAGCCCUUUCAUUUACUGAAACCACAACAUAAAUAGGAACUAUACUUAGGUUGUGAGCUUUUUAAAGACAGUCUCAUGUAAAGGUCUGACAAGUAUGCAAAGUGUAAAACAACCUAUGUGCUAAACUACAUGUGCUUUGGGGUAAUGUGCACCUGGUAAUAAAGGGAAGUAUUAAGGUGAAUGUGUACUCAUAGACCUCCCCACAAACAAAAUAGGGAUACAGAAAAACAAACAAACAAACAAACAAAAAACCUCCCAUCUCAGCAGCAAGCCUAUCAUUUAUGAAACUCCACAAAAGGUAGCAAGGAUUCCAGUUGCAAAAGUUCGUAAAUGCCCAGAUAAUGGCUAAUACCACUUUGAUAAUCUCAUAGCGUGUUCUGUAGAUGUUUAAUCACAUUGACAUUUACCUCUGACACCAAGAGGGCAUGUGUAACUUUCUGCUAACAAACAUCAAUUUAACCUAUUAAUAGGCGUUUAUUUGUCUUUCUAUUUACUCUGUUGGUCCUUCUGGAAAAUCAAUAUUGAUUAUGCUAAAGACCUUCUGUGCAAAUUAUGGAAGACUUUUGCUUUUCCAUGUAACUUUUCGGGUAUCUAGCUGGAAAUUUUAUUAGAAUUUUCUUGUUUGUCCCCCCACUCACACCCUUUGAGUUGAAAGCCAAAUUAAAAUUUAGGAUAUCUGGAAGAGAUAUUAUUUUGCAGUUGGAGUUUUGUGCCCACUUCAAGCUAUAAUUCCAAAUUCUCUUUUCAAAUCUGAGGGCAUGAGUGGUACCAGCUGUAAUAUUGGGAGCUCCUUGGUAGAUGACAAGGGAAUCACAGGGAGCCUCUGUACCUUUGGGAUUACAGAUCCUUGGCAUCAUUCAGCUCCUGCAUGUACAUUUGUUCAUCACAAUAUCGCAGCUUCCUUGAGCUGAAGGCAUACUUCUUAUUUCAUGUUGGAAGGAAGAGUAAUCUCCCUUUCUGCAUGACCUAAAAACCCAAAUAGAGAGGUUCAGGCAAUUUGAGGAAUUGUCCAAGCUUCCGCCGCUGAGGACAAAGAUCGCCUCAAUCUUAUUUUGCCUGGAGAAUUCUGUCCUUCUUCAUCCAGUUGCUCCUUUCCUGCCCACUUCAGAAUGGGCAUAGGCCACACUAAAUAAGAAGAGAAGAGCUUCCCUAGCCAAAGGAUCUUCAGAUUUUUUUGUUUUGUUUUGUUUUUUGUUUUCGUUACAAAGCCCUUUACAGGAAAAUGAUCCUACUGAUGUGCCUUCACCAGCUUAGGAAUCAGCACAUAUGUUGUCAACACUCACCUGUUUAUUGGAAGAAAAGAGGGUGGCAGAAAGGUGAUGGCAGAACAGAAAUACACAAGUUCUUAUUCUGGGUUCUCAUCCAGAGGUAGCAAACUGGCAGCCUGCUGCUUGGAUCUGGCCUCAGUGUGUUUAGUUUGGCUCUCAUAGUAUCAGCCCACACAGUGUUUUACGUUUGAAUUCUUACAUUUAAAAAAAUAGAGAAAUUUCACAUAAAUUCCAAACCCUUGAAAAGCACUCGAGAUACACUUGGCUCCUAUCGCCCUAUUUUCAAAAUGUCUAUAAAAGAUCAGUUUUUAGAGACCAGUGUGAUAUUGUGAUUCAUAUUGAAAAAUAUAUUUUACUGUUUGUACUCUAUUCUUGACUUGAGGAUCUCAUUCCCUGGGAAAGUCCCAGGAGAAAGGAACUUUUUUUUUGUUUUGUCUUAAUGAGGUGACUCAUGGGGAGCUCAAGAAACUCAACAACAACAACAAAAAUAAAAGUCCAGUUAAGAAAUGAAUGGGAAAAGGACUUGAACAGGCGUUUUUCAAGAGUGGAAAUUCAUUGGCCAACAGACACAUGAAAAAUUGCUCAAGAUCAUUAGUCAUCAGGGAAAUGCAAGUAAAAACCACGGUGCUAAGGUUUCACUUCACCCCAGUUAGAAUGGCUUUCAUACAGAAAUCAACAAACAAUAAAUGCUGGCAAGGAUUUGGGGAAAAAGGUACGCCAGUACACUGUUGGUAAGAAUGUAAACUAGCACACCAUUGUGGAAGAUAGUAUGAGGAUAUCUCAGAAAGCUGAAAAUAGAUAUACCAUAUGACCCAGCCAUUCCACUCCUGGGAAUUCACCCAAAUGAAAUGAAAUCAGUAUAUGAAAGAGUUAUCUGUACCGCUAUGCUUAUUGCAGCUCACUUCACAAUAGGUAAGAUAUUGAGUAAUCUAAAUGUCCAUCAACUGACGAAUGGAUAAAGAAAUUGAAAUAUACAUAUGACUGGAUAGAGAAUUGAAAAAAAUAUAUAUAUAAUGGAAUACUACUCAGCCAUAAAGAGAAUGAAAUCUUGUCUUUUGCAACAAAACGGAUGCAACUGGAAACCAUUAUACUCAGUGAAAUAAACCAGUUCCAAAAGAACAAAUACAAUAUGUUUUCACUGAUAGCUAAUAGAAUAUCAAAAAUGUAAUGUAUAUGAUUGAAAUUGACAUUUUGAGAUUCGAUGACUAUUUACAUCCCUUGUCAUUACUGUUGAGGAAUCAUGUUUUUUUUUUUUUUUCUUUUUGCUAAUUGUUGGAUUCUUUACUUACUGUAGGAUUAAUCUUAUGCAUAUAAAACAGACUGAGAGUAAAUCAUUGUAAAAAUUAAUGGAAGGAAUG
Oryctolagus cuniculus (rabbit) is the source of this 16177-nucleotide non-coding RNA. The record is from RefSeq and is a predicted model, not a curated record. NCBI's taxonomy places the organism in Eukaryota, Metazoa, Chordata, Mammalia, Lagomorpha, Leporidae.